GGCUUUGGACUGCGGAGCACGCCGGGAGUCGUAGUCCCCAGGCCUGCUCGGGCCCACCUCGUCGGAGACGAGCAGGAACCGCCUCCUCUCCUUUGCAUAUCGGCGAAGUGUAGUUCUCAAGAGCAUUGUGGGGCCGGUUGCUGCCCGAAUCUCUCUAGGGAAUGGGACCGAGUUGGGGACCCAGACUCCCUGGCCUUCAUGGCCACAGUCCUGUCGCCGCCCCACCAAAAGCCAAUCUCUAAGAAUCUGGAACGAUGAAGGUGAUGUUUGUGCCUGUGGCCAAGACCGGGAGAACCCUGGACCCCUACACCUUCCCCACCCCUGGAAUGUCACUAUACAUAUCUGACUUCUUCUGAUGUUGCCUUUGACCCUAAAGUCAAUAUGAUAAAGUAACAAGAAGCUGGGACAGAGGAACAAACACAGCCCACUCAAGCAGUGGUGGCAACAUUCUGUUAGAAAGGAAGGGAGUCAAAGAAAAAAACACCCCUCCGCCCAUCUCCUUAUCACCUCCCUAAAGACAGAGGAGAACAUGGACACCCUCCAUCCUGACAGAAUGCCAUGUGGUCAGUUUGUG
RNAcentral lists this non-coding RNA (574 nucleotides) under Pan troglodytes (chimpanzee). The record is from RNAcentral. Lineage: Eukaryota; Metazoa; Chordata; Mammalia; Primates; Hominidae.